Molecule: long non-coding RNA, 1475 nt
Organism: Brassica rapa (field mustard)
Lineage: Eukaryota; Viridiplantae; Streptophyta; Magnoliopsida; Brassicales; Brassicaceae
Source: RefSeq, a predicted model, not a curated record
UUUAUGCUUUGGGUUCCAUUCUCAACAAUAGCAGAUGAUUAAUUGUUCAAGUUAUCACUACGCUUAUGGAUCUUUGGUCUUUUAUGAACAACUCUUAAAUUAAUUGACCCGCAAGUCCACCAAUGACUCGAAUUUUCCAUUGCUUUCCACCAUUACAUCCUUAUUGUAAUAAGUUUUUAUAAUACUCACAUAACGCAUCAAUGUUUAGUGGUCUCCUAACCCCAGCUGAGAGAACCCAAUCUGUCAUGGUGGACACUACUGUUAACCCAAAAAUAUUUGGAGCUGGACUGGCCGUUUGAUUCUGGAAGGAAGAAGACAUAUUUGAGUCAGGAGGAGAGAGGUCAAAGAACUCCAAAGUAUUCAGACCGGUUAUGGAAGAAAGUGGAGUCGUGGUGCAAAGCGGGGGAGAGAACAUUCGAUCGAAUCUUUGAGAUUGUUGACCAAAACGAACCCAAGAUUUAUCUGCUCUGACAUAGGUUGUUUAAGUAGACGCGUGGCUAAAGAGGAGCGGAAAAAAAUGGGGACUAAGGCCGAUGAAAGGUUUCUAUUUCUCAAACAUCAAUAUUGUACAAGUUUUCUUUAUAUCCUUGGUCUCAGCAAGAUUUUGCUUCCCUUUAUUGGGCUGUGUUUUAAAAGCUGUCAUAAGUUGCACUAACUGAUAGUAAAUCAUUGGUGAGAUGGAAAAAAAUAUUACAGGAAAUGCUUUGGGGUUAACAAGAGCUGGCAUGGUGGCCUAUUUUGAGGUGCUGGUAGUGGUUGUGGCGGGGGUGGGGUGAUAGACGUCGUGGGAGCGUCAGCAAUGUAUGUGGCUUUAUGCAUGUGGUCGCUUUGUCAAGACUGAUGACUUCAGACUGAUUAUUUUGCAAGAAGGUUUAUAUCAAAGUUGCUAUAAAAAACCUCCCAUGCCGUUCUUCACUUUAUUCGGGAUAGAGGAUGCAGAAAAUUAUGUUGUUGUUGCUUUCAACGAACUCAAAGUAUUCGCUCGAGUUAGAUCCAUCACCAACCAAUAUAAACAUCAGGUUUUUCGUUCAGGACUAAAUAUAUGCUAACAAUUCACGUCCUCCAGAUCCAGGUUCCGUGGAUAGUGCCAUUUUGUGGUCUUCGACAGAGAGACGAUGAAACUCAUCAAAAAGAGGCUACAAGUCUGGGUCUUAAAGAGAUGACCAGCAGUGAGGAAAUGGAGCUACCAAAAUGUCUUGAGGAGUUAGCUGGCAAUGAAUAUGUUUUUCAUCUACGUUGACUCCUUACAAUUUCACUCCAAAUCACCGUACGUUCACUGUAUCAUCAAUCAGUGAAGACGUUUUUACAUUUCAAUCCCACUUAGCUUUCAUUUCAUUUCAAUUGUCUAUUCCACAUGUUUCCUCUAUUUCAAACUUUGGUUGUCUCUAUGAUUUGCUGUAAACUAUUUUUUACUGGUGUAAAAAUUACUAUGACUUUAUAUAAUAAAGGAAGCGUGAACGUGUCUUUAGUUAAUU